AACGUGACUCUGCUCUUGCCCACCGCUUUCUCCGGAGUAUCCAAGCUUUGAGGCGACAGCGUUCUUCGCCGCUACAGCUUUGUCGGUUACAUACGAAGUCGCUGAGCCUAUCUUCUCUGUGUAGGUAGUGGGUUUUGACUCGUGCGUCUCCUUGAAGUCAUCUAUCUCUUUCGGACGAGAGAGUUCCGGUGAGAACUGAUCAUGAGUCCCCGUCGGUAAGUCUCUUCCCAAGACAUUCUCUACUUUCACAUCAUCACUUAUCGGCGGCAAAUGCUUCUCCAGUCCAGGUCCUGUUUCCUCACCAUAUCCCUUGGCCGUAUCCUUCACACCAAACUCAUGGCUCUUCGCCGGAAAAUCUUCCCCCAGCCCAGCGAUUGAUCCGCUGGCCAAAACCGUCGCCGAGUUCUUGUCUGUUUCAGAACCGUCCUCCCGACCAAACUCAUGGCUUCUUGUCCGAAAAUAUUUUCCCAUCCCAUCUUCAGAUUCCCCUCCAAAUCCCGCCGCAGAAUCCUUCCCGAUUGCGUGUUCGUCUUUCAGACCAAACUCAUGGCUUCUUGUCGGAAUCUCUCUUUCAAAAUCUCGUCCUGAUUUAUGAACAGGCGACUCAUCUCUAUCUGGUCGGUAGGGAUCUUCUCCACCGUCACUUCCACUUCCUUUACCGUUGUCCUCUUCUUAUCUCCUCCUCCGAGAUGAAGUUUCUCAGCAAUCACCUCGGAUAAUGCUUUGUCUUCCUCUCCAGGUCUCAGCUUCUCCGCCAAGUAGUCUCUAGUGGACGCACCUUUUUCUCCCACGUGUUGCUUCUCCUCAGCUCCGCUUCCACCUCCCGAAAGGGGCAAUUUCGUCAUCACGUUGGAUCCUGUCUCCUUGACCUUUUCAUAAACCGGAGUCAACUUAUCCGCCACAGUUCCCGCCACUUUCUGCCCGUAUCCCGUUGCAGAUCUUGGAGUUGUCUCAUCUCCAACGUGACUCUGCUCUUGCCCACCGCUUUCUCCGGAGUAUCCAAGCUUUGAGGCGACAGCGUUCUUCGCCGCUACAGCUUUGUCGGUUACAUACGAAGUCGCUGAGCCUAUCUUCUCUGUGUAGGUAGUGGGUUUUGACUCGUGCGUCUCCUUGAAGUCAUCUAUCUCUUUCGGACGAGAGAGUUCCGGUGAGAACUGAUCAUGAGUCCCCGUCGGUAAGUCUCUUCCCAAGACAUUCUCUACUUUCACAUCAUCACUUAUCGGCGGCAAAUGCUUCUCCAGUCCAGGUCCUGUUUCCUCACCAUAUCCCUUGGCCGUAUCCUUCACACCAAACUCAUGGCUCUUCGCCGGAAAAUCUUCCCCCAGCCCAGCGAUUGAUCCGCUGGCCAAAACCGUCGCCGAGUUCUUGUCUGUUUCAGAACCGUCCUCCCGACCAAACUCAU
This 1402-nucleotide long non-coding RNA is filed under the name Brassica napus (rape). RNAcentral's name for it is "long non-coding RNA (BNAP_LNC002192)". Lineage: Eukaryota; Viridiplantae; Streptophyta; Magnoliopsida; Brassicales; Brassicaceae. The record is from RNAcentral.